RNAcentral lists this long non-coding RNA (471 nucleotides) under Androctonus crassicauda. Lineage: Eukaryota; Metazoa; Arthropoda; Arachnida; Scorpiones; Buthidae. The record is from RNAcentral.
UACUGGAGGUUUUUAAAAUGAGAUAGCGGGGCAAACAGACAGACAUGAGGCUACAUCACAAGGCAAUUAGAAGGUUGGACAGCAGAGUAUGCAGCGGUGGUUAAUUAUUACAGAGAUCCCUUACCUGAUUGAAUGUUUGCUUUACUUAAGUACAGUCAUCUCUGAUAAGUUGAGUGAUGGUGUCUCACAUCCUGUAGUCCUCUGGUGGCUUUCCUUGCCUGUCACUUUAGAGACAUAGCCACUAGGCAGUUUUUUCUAGGAAAAUUAUUGAUGAAACACUGCCUGCAAGUACGUGAUCUCUGAAAAAAAUUCAAGUUUUGUUCUUAGGUUGAUUAGAAACACAGAUGUCCAACAGAAGAUAACUGUUGAUGAUAGCUGAUUCCGAUUGUUGAAGGGGAAAAAAACCAACCAAACCUUGGCCUUUCUGCAAGGGUGGCAUAUGGAUCAGUUCCAAGAACAUACUACUACCUC